RNAcentral lists this ribosomal RNA (253 nucleotides) under uncultured bacterium. Its description in RNAcentral is "partial 16S ribosomal RNA". It matches the Rfam family "Bacterial small subunit ribosomal RNA", at positions 524 to 776 of the family's 1533-position model. The record is from RNAcentral.
UACGAAGGGGGCUAGCGUUGCUCGGAAUGACUGGGCGUAAAGGGCGCGUAGGCGGUUUGGACAGUCAGAUGUGAAAUUCCUGGGCUCAACCUGGGGGCUGCAUUUGAUACGUUCGGACUAGAGUGGGGAAGAGGGUCGUGGAAUUCCCAGUGUAGAGGUGAAAUUCGUAGAUAUUGGGAAGAACACCGGUGGCGAAGGCGGCGACCUGGUCCUUGACUGACGCUGAGGCGCGAAAGCGUGGGUAGCAAACAGG